This 2447-nucleotide long non-coding RNA is filed under the name Homo sapiens (human). RNAcentral describes it as "non-protein coding lnc-CEACAM20-2:6". The record is from RNAcentral. Lineage: Eukaryota; Metazoa; Chordata; Mammalia; Primates; Hominidae.
GGCUAGGCGGGUUGGGGGCAUGACUCAGGCUGGAGAUGGGAGGGAGGGAGGAGGGAGGCGGGACUCUUCCCCGUCUCCUCCCCUCCUCUCCCUCUCCCCGCCCCGGGGUGGGGCCCCGAAGGUCCGGGGCUUUCCCGGAUUUCCCUGGGGGCGGGGCAGCCGCUGGGGUUGAGUCCGGGUCACUGAGUCACAGGAGGCGGAGAGGGAGGCUUUGGGGACACAGGGGGCGGGGCAUGGGGGCUGCACCCCGGACUUGCCCAGGGGGCACGCGGCGUCUCUCUGGUUCUCUCCCCCGGUCUCCUUCUGUCUUCGAAACUUGCCUGACCUCCCUCUGGUUGUCUCCUGCCCCGCCCUCUGUCUCUGUCUCCCCAUCUCUGUUGCUGUCUCUGUGUCCCCUGGGACCUUGAAAGUGGGUAUUGGGGCCCCGGGAAGGGACUUUGGCCGGACUCGGGCCCCACCCGAGUGGAUCGUUAACCCAGGAUGUGAGAAGUGGCUGUGUGGAGAGGCCUCACCCCUUCCCUUCCUUUCGACCUCUCUCUGGAUCUCCCUUAUCCCCCUUCAUGGCGAAACAUCCCGAGCACAGACCUGUGUUAAUUCCACCUCCACCCCUUGCUCCCGGUGGGACCUCAGACAAGCCAUCCCCUGCCUUGAGACUCAGUUUGUUCUUCUGGAAAAUGGGACCAAUGGCAACCCCUGCCUGCUGGUGUUGUGGGGGCCACAGCAAGGGAAGAGGGGAGGAAUUCGGUUGGACAGGCUGGGGGCUGUGUUCCCUGCCCAUCCAACCCCACCCCUGGGGACCCUCAGACACAGGAGAGGGGUGUGGAGCACUAUCCCAAUGCACAGAAAGGAAAGCUGAGGUUUGGAGGGGCGAGGCUUAGGGUGGGGACCCUCAGAGGUAGGGUGGGAAGGACACCCAAGCCUGUCCCACUCCUGGCAUCCCAGGGCAGCUGGUGCAGUGGUUCCAACCUAGCAGGACUGUAGAGGGGAGAAGAUGUGAUGGGUCCGGUGGGAGCUUCGAAGGGCUGGGAGAGACGGUGCUGCUGGAAGAGAGGGUGCUGAUGGUUCUCUGAGGUUGGAAGAGGGAUAAAAGGGUCAGAAGGAGGAGGAUCUGAAGAAGGAAGAUAGGUCUGAGAGAGAAGUAGAUGGUUUAGUGGGAGGAGGGGGAGAGGAUCUGAAGGAGGAGGACAGGGUCUGUUGGAGGAGGUAAGGGUCUGAUGGAGGAAAUAAGGGUCUGAGGGUGGAGGCGAGGUUUGGAGGGAGGAGGUGAAGGUCUGAGGGAGGAGACAAGGGUCUGAAGGAGGAGAUAAGAGUCUGAGGAAGGAGGCGAGGGUUUGAGAGAGGAGGUGAGGGUCUGAAGGAGGAGGUGAGGGUCUGAAGGUGGAGGUGAGGUUCGGGGGGAGGAGAUGAGGGGCUAAGGGAGGAGGUGAGGGUCUGAGAGAGGAGACGAGGGUCUGAAGGAGGUGGGGGUCUGAGGGAGGAGGUGAGAGUCUGAAGGAGGAGAUAAGCAUGUGAGGAAGGAGGUGAGGGUUUGAGAGAGGAGGUGAGGGUUUGAGAGAAUAGGUGAGGGUUUGAAGGAGGAGGUAAGGGUCUGAGGGAGGAGGUGAGGGUCUGAAGGAGGAAGUGAGGGUCUGAGUGAGGAGGUGAGGGUCUGAGGGGAGGGGAGAGUAUCUGAGGGAGAGGGCACAGUCUGAGGAAGUCUGAGAAGCACUAAGUGAGGGGACGCAGCUCUGAGGGAGGAGGAGAGAGUUGGAGGGGAAAGAAGGGUCUGAGGAAAGAAGAUUUGGAGAGAGUCUGAGGGUAGAGGCCAGAUCUGAGGGAGAAGAAAGAGGCUCAGGGGAAAAGAUCUGAGGGUCCGAGGGUGGAAGGCAUGGACUAGGGGAGGAGGAGCUGGUGGGGUGGAGGGGUGGAGAGGCGUGCCUCCGGAGCCAGCAGGGACCAAGGGGAGGGAAGGGAAGGGAGGCUGGGAGGCAGCCCCGCCCUGCAGCUGUCUCUAAUUUCCCAGAAUCUUCUGCUCUCAGGAAAGUCCCAGCUCCCACAGCAGCCUCCCUCCAAUGUCGGGAACGGAGGAUGCGGAACCAGGAUGGCCACCCCCACCCUCCCCCGGCUCCUUGCACCCCAGGCGGAAAGGACUAGGGUCUCCUUUCUCUGGGCCUUGGCCUCUGGAGGGCCCCCACCCGCAGGGGCAGCCCCUGGAUGAGUCUUAGAAACUUCCCAGAGGAGGCCAGGAAGUUCUGCUUGGUGUCUAACCACUUUCCCCUCAUGCAGGCCGCCCUUUGUACCUGUUCAGAUCUCCUCCCCAGCUGCUGUUUCUUUUUCCCCAACCCAUCCUGGGGGAGGAAAGGCCAGGAAUUUACCUGCUCAAAGUCCUGAGAGGGAAACGAAAUUCCAUCUGGAAGUCUGUAGGCUUGAGGCAGCUUUCUUGCUCUCAGGGGCCUCAAUUUCCCUUU